AUACAAACUGAAUGAGACAUUCACAAAGCUGCAAAGAAUUCUUUUUGCUAUAAUUUCUUGCCUCGAAGAAGAACUUGAUUCAUUAAGUCAUCAUGCUUUCAGUAUUUCCUCCUCAAUGGUGGCCUGAUUGAUUCAAUGACAUCUCUCAUAUCUUCUUCAAGAAGCCGACUCUUCAAUGGUGGUUUGUUUUAUCUACUUCUUUCUACAAUUUUUUUUUUUUUUUUUGGUGUAAUAUCCUUAUUUAUCUUUUUUCAUGCUGUAUAACCUUUCUACAUUUUGUCUAUUAUUAUUUCUCUUAUACAUUUGAAACUAUUAAUUUAUUUAUAAAAAUACCAAAAGUCAAAAAUCAUAAAAAAAAAUAAUCAAGAAAUCUAGAAACACUUAAUUUACUCCAAGCUGAUUUGUUAGCAAUUGAUGAUUAAAGGGAUGACUGUAAGGCUUGUAAGAGCGUAUGACUGUAAGAAUGGAAUGACCAUUAAAAUGGACUUUGUUUGGAGCUUGCUAAAAAUGUCAAACCCUCAAUGUUUUUACUGGAUACUAAGAUCAAGUCCGAUUGAGCUGCUCUUUUGACUCUUGUCUCUAGGCAUUACUGGGCUGCGAUCCCCAUCAAUGAAUUUAACAUAGAAGUUCCUUGGUCGGGAAUGCAGUCUGGCAAGGUCUGGAUGAGAGGCAAAAGAGUGUUCACUCAAACUUUUUCUUGGCUUCCAAUAACAACAUUGAGCGUUCAACAUCUUUAGCAUGCCACCAUGCAAAGUCCAAUUUUUAAAGGUGGUUCCAUUGUUAUAAGCAUACGCUCUUACCAGCCUUGCCAUCUUCUCUUCAGCCAUCAAUUGCUUUGUAGUUGGCCAAGUUGACUAUGAUUUAAGUGGAGCUGGAGCUGAAAUGGAUAAUAGACAUUUGUUAUCUUUGUAAGACCACGUGUUUUGGAUUCUUAUCCUUUCUUUAUAGACAAUAUAUUAAUGAAUUUUACUCUUCUUUUAUUCCUAGACGUCAUAGUCAUACAUUAUACAUCUUGUACAAUUUCUUUUGGACACACUAUUUUAUACAGUUUAUUGAUUCAAAUAUUCA
This is a long non-coding RNA of Ziziphus jujuba (common jujube), 1068 nucleotides long. RefSeq lists it as uncharacterized. NCBI's taxonomy places the organism in Eukaryota, Viridiplantae, Streptophyta, Magnoliopsida, Rosales, Rhamnaceae. The record is from RefSeq and is a predicted model, not a curated record. The transcript has 2 exons.